UUUGAGGUGGACAGGAUGUGCAAGGAGACAUGCUUUAGCUGCGAGUUCGAAUAUGGAUUUUUAUAUAAAUAUAUAUAUAUUUUUAAAUUUUUCUUUUCAAACAACUCUCACUGUGUUCUUUCAGCACUUCAGAGCAGGGGAACUUUGAAGUUACCUUCAUUCAAAAAGAUGAGGAAGUUGCUGAUUUUGUGAAAUACAUCCAGAGACAGACAAGUCAUGUCCCAGGGAAAGGGGAAAGGGAUCUUCAUCUUGGACUGCGGCAAAGGAGUCAUCCAAAAAGUUCACUGGGAAAUUGGAUAAAGAGGGCAUGGAAAUAGCUGUCUGUCGCCAUGGAGUCCUCCUUGCUGCAUUAAACAUGUUUCGAGGGUAGAUCUUUGCUUACCCCAUUUUUCUGCAGAGGAAGUUGGUGGCUCAGCAGUGUCCUGAGAUGAGGAACCUGAGGAACCUGUCCAUGUGUCCUUUCUUCCCCGUCAUGCAUACAAAGGCUCACGCUUGGAAAUGUGAGGGCGAACAGACAUGCUGACCCUCCUGACUUUGGGGUGGAACAAACGGAAAGUGGAACAACUGGGCCACACUUUGAGCCAGAGAUAUCUAAAGGUAAAGUUUUCAACACAGAUGUUGAUGCAUGUGGUAAUGGAAAAAAAAAACAAAAAAAAACACGAGUACUAAUUAUCAGGUACGGUGUUUGAGAAAAUGAUUACCAUUACAUUCUUAUAUACAUGAGUUUGAAAGGCCAUACUGUAUACACAAACACGCGGGUACCACCAGGGGUUCAGCAUGGGGAGCUUUGGUGAUGCGAACACAACAUGAGGAGGUAAUAAGCUACCUUGGCUGAAUAAAAGAAUAGAACAGGUUAACUGGCGACUCUUAAUUGUCCUCAUCUUCCACAGGCAUGAGUGUAAGUGGUUGUUUGUCUCUAUGUACCCCGUGAUGAACUGCUGACUUCUCUAGGGUGUACCCUGUGUCUCACCAAGAGUCGGCUGGGAUAGGCUACCUGAUAAGGAUACAUUGUUACAGAUAAUGGACAAAGGAUAUCUCACUUCUCAGCAGGUGCUCAUAAAGUUUCCUCAUCUUCAUGAACAUGUCAUACACAUGACCUUCUGCUGGCUGGAUGUUGGUGAUGAGGUCUCCCACAAUAUGACCCUUACGGUCGUACUGGCCAAGAAACAGAAUUGGCUAGUAGCACGGGAUAUGUAGUUUUGAAACCUGCAAAAACAAAGAAAGUCUGGUCAGCCAGUCUGGUUUGACCAAUCAUCAUCACAGGGAAGUGGUUUACAGUGUGGGCAUGUAUAGGCGAGACCAACUCAAGAGGUACAACAACAUAAAUAAUGUUAAAUAAUUUUAUUUAUUUAUUUUUUAAGCUUUGAUCAGAUACAAAGUAAAGAAUGGCCUGAAAUGUAUCUCUCCGGAAUUUACAAAUUAUGAACAAAUGAGGUUUCCUUUCAAGCAAAUCUAUGCACAACUAACAACGCUGAUGUUAUGUUGUUUUUUUAUUUAUGCUCUUUUAUAAAUAAAUGUUCUCUGCUUGCA
Molecule: long non-coding RNA, 1530 nt
Organism: Mugil cephalus (flathead mullet)
Lineage: Eukaryota; Metazoa; Chordata; Actinopteri; Mugiliformes; Mugilidae
Exons: 4
Source: RefSeq, a predicted model, not a curated record